GGCGGACGGGUGAGUAAGACAUGGGUACCUGCCUCAAAGUGAGGAAUACCCUCGGGAAACCGGGGACAAGACCGCAUAGGCUCCCUCUUGGACACGAGAGGGAGCAAAGCCUCGCGAGGGGCGCUUUGAGAGGGGCCUGUGGCCGAUUAGCUAGCUGGUGGGGUAACGGCUCACCAGGGCCACGAUCGGUAGCUGGUCUGAGAGGACGAGCAGCCACACUGGGAUUGAGAACGGCCCAGACUCCUACGGGGGGCAGCAGUGAGGAAUUUUCCGCAAUGGGGGAAACCCUGACGGAGCAACGCCGCGUGCAGGAGGACGGCCUUCGGGUUGUAAACUGCUUUUCUGGGGGACGAGAACAAGGACGGUACCCUGGGAAGCAGCCCCGGCUCACUACGUGCCAGCCGCCGCGG
This 410-nucleotide ribosomal RNA is filed under the name uncultured bacterium. RNAcentral describes it as "bacterial SSU rRNA". It matches the Rfam family "Bacterial small subunit ribosomal RNA", at positions 97 to 520 of the family's 1533-position model. The record is from RNAcentral.